This 259-nucleotide ribosomal RNA is filed under the name Psychrobacter sp. SZ93C1. Its description in RNAcentral is "partial 23S ribosomal RNA". It matches the Rfam family "Bacterial large subunit ribosomal RNA", at positions 2655 to 2925 of the family's 2925-position model. The record is from RNAcentral. Lineage: Bacteria; Pseudomonadati; Pseudomonadota; Gammaproteobacteria; Moraxellales; Moraxellaceae.
UGGAAAUUUGAGAGGAUCUGCUCCUAGUACGAGAGGACCAGAGUGGACGAACCUCUGGUGUUCGGGUUGUCACGCCAGUGGCAUUGCCCGGUAGCUACGUUCGGAUGGGAUAACCGCUGAAAGCAUCUAAGCGGGAAGCCCACCUCAAGAUUAGAUUUCCCUAAAGAGCCGUUCAAGACUAGGACGUUGAUAGGCAGGGUGUGGAAGUGCAGCGAUGCAUGUAGCUAACCUGUACUAAUUGCUCGUUUGGCUUGACCAU